Molecule: long non-coding RNA, 1103 nt
Organism: Zonotrichia leucophrys gambelii
Lineage: Eukaryota; Metazoa; Chordata; Aves; Passeriformes; Passerellidae
Exons: 9
Source: RefSeq, a predicted model, not a curated record
GAAAGAGAGGCAAUAGAGGCCACAAAAAAGGCAAGAAAAAUCCCAAGCAAUGCCAGGAAAAGGUACGAAAAUGGUUCUGCCAGGUGCAAUCAAGGUCCGUGCUGGAGAGUGGGAGAAAGGGCCCUGCUGGUUGCCGUGUCCUCGGUGGGCAGCGAGCUCUGACCUUGGCCGGAUGGGCUGCUGAGUAAUGGAACAAUGGGGAUGCGCUUUUAUGUAUUUAGUGACCUUUACAGAUUUCUCCCCCUGCUUCAGACUCAUCACAGCAGGACAGCGUGAAGACUGAAAGUGUAAGAAGAUGUGGAGGGAAAGAGAGAAUCUGACAGGAGCAUUGAACGCAGAGGUGUUUCUGGGCAUCUAAAGCAGCAGAGGCUUGGAAGAGACUGUGAAGAAAACAGCAUGGAAUACAGGGAGUAUGAGGAGCACGCCUUUCAGAGAUUCCAGGUUGUGUCAAGCACAACACUUUUUGCAGCAGAUUGAUUGUGUCACAGGAGGGAUCUGCCCAGUGUCCAAGAUGAUGUUUGAGAUUGAGGCUUCAGGUGCCAGCCCUAAUAAAGGCCACAGCCUUGGAAUCAGGAUGAAGCUGGAGCCUGAGGGAGCCAGGCACACUCAGGAGAGGCUGACCGAGAGGCUCACAGGCCAUCACGAGGCUCUCUGAAGCAGACUCAUUUCAGGUGCAGAUGCAUUGCAUCCAUGGCAGAGGGUCAGAGUUAGCAGGUGCCGGGCCUUCCUAGGAGCACGCUGUCUGAGAGACACCGGCCCGGUGACAGCAGGACCUUCCCAGCUGACGAGGUGGCCUUUCUUUGCACCUGGCACGGACUGGCAUCGCCAGAUGUCUGAGAGAUAAGUAGAGGGCUAUGACCCACAGAGGGGAUGAAGGCAGGGUGCUGGUUUGGGAAUUACUGGGAGGGGUUUUUGAGUCCAAUUUGGCGGUGGGGGGGUGUCCAUGAAGUGGCCCCUUAGGCCCCAUAAAAGCAAAGUCUCACCUUUGAUCACAGUGCUGAGGUGUUCAGGGCAGAGCAGUCCCGGUGUGUCUGGUGUCACUUGUCUGCUGUGCAUUAUGUGUUGUUUGUGUAUCUCCUGUCUUUUACCUUAGCACAUUGAGG